This 438-nucleotide ribosomal RNA is filed under the name uncultured bacterium. RNAcentral's name for it is "partial 16S ribosomal RNA". It matches the Rfam family "Bacterial small subunit ribosomal RNA", at positions 339 to 795 of the family's 1533-position model. The record is from RNAcentral.
CUACGGGACGCACCAGUGAGGAAUAUUGCACAACGGGGGGAACCCUGAUGCAGCAACGCCGCGUGGAGGAUGACGCAUUUCGGUGUGUAAACUCCUUUUAUAUGUCAAGAAAAUGACGGUAGCAUAUGAAUAAGCACCGGCUAACUCCGUGCCAGCAGCCGCGGUAAUAGGAGGGUGCAAGCGUUACUCGGAAUCACUGGGCGUAAAGGACGCGUAGGCGGGUUGGAAAGUCAGGUGUGAAAUCCUACAGCUUAACUGUAGAACUGCACUUGAAACUUCUAAUCUAGAGUAUGGGAGGGGGAGAUGGAAUUAGUGGUGUAGGGGUAAAAUCCGUAGAUAUCACUAGGAAUACCUAAAGCGAAGGCGAUCUCCUGGAACAUUACUGACGCUAAGGCGUGAAAGCGUGGGGAGCAAACAGGAUUAGAUACCCGAGUAGUC